UACGGAGGGAGCUAGCGUUAUUCGGAAUUACUGGGCGUAAAGCGCACGUAGGCGGCUUUGUAAGUUAGAGGUGAAAGCCUGGAGCUCAACUCCAGAACUGCCUUUAAGACUGCAUCGCUUGAAUCCAGGAGAGGUGAGUGGAAUUCCGAGUGUAGAGGUGAAAUUCGUAGAUAUUCGGAAGAACACCAGUGGCGAAGGCGGCUCACUGGACUGGUAUUGACGCUGAGGUGCGAAAGCAUGGGGAGCGAACAGG
Molecule: ribosomal RNA, 253 nt
Filed under: uncultured bacterium
Lineage: Bacteria
Description: partial 16S ribosomal RNA
Rfam family: Bacterial small subunit ribosomal RNA
Source: RNAcentral